Non-coding RNA from Phodopus roborovskii (desert hamster), 72 nucleotides. Lineage: Eukaryota; Metazoa; Chordata; Mammalia; Rodentia; Cricetidae. The record is from the annotation of a RefSeq genome assembly.
GGGGGUGUAGCUCAGCGGGAGAGCACGUAUUUAGCAUAUAUGAGGUCCCGGGUUCGAGCCCCGGCAUCUCCA